AGUGAACGCUGGCGGUAGGCCUAACACAUGCAAGUCGAACGGCAGCACAGGAGAUCUUGCUCUCUGGGUGGCGAGUGGCGGACGGGUGAGGAAUACAUCGGAAUCUACUCUGUCGUGGGGGAUAACGUAGGGAAACUUACGCUAAUACCGCAUACGACCUACGGGUGACAGCAGGGGAUCUUCGGACCUUGCGCGAUUGAAUGAGCCGAUGUGGGAUUAGCUAGUUGGCGGGGUAAAGGCCCACCAAGGCGACGAUCCGUGGCGGGUCUGGGCGGAGGAACAGCCACACUGGAACUGGUACGCGGUCCAGACUCCGCCGGGAGGCGGCGGUGGAGAAAAUUGGACACUGGGCGCAAGCCUGAUCCAGCCAUACCGCGUGGGUGAAGAAGGCCUUCGGGUGGUAAAGCCCUUUUGUUGGGAAAGCAAUCCAGCUGGCUAAUACCCGGUUGGGAUGACGGUACCCAAAGAAUAAGCACCGGCUAACUGCGUGCCAGCCGCCGCAGUAA
RNAcentral lists this ribosomal RNA (506 nucleotides) under uncultured bacterium. RNAcentral describes it as "partial 16S ribosomal RNA". It matches the Rfam family "Bacterial small subunit ribosomal RNA", at positions 29 to 523 of the family's 1533-position model. The record is from RNAcentral.